Myotis lucifugus (little brown bat) is the source of this 70-nucleotide non-coding RNA. The record is from Rfam. NCBI's taxonomy places the organism in Eukaryota, Metazoa, Chordata, Mammalia, Chiroptera, Vespertilionidae.
GGCAGUUCUUGGGUGACACCCCAAAAUCGGGCUCCCUCCUCUCUGGUUCCAGGUGCGCCUGAGAACCACA